This 487-nucleotide ribosomal RNA is filed under the name uncultured Pseudomonadota bacterium. Its description in RNAcentral is "bacterial SSU rRNA". It matches the Rfam family "Bacterial small subunit ribosomal RNA", at positions 355 to 833 of the family's 1533-position model. Lineage: Bacteria; Pseudomonadati; Pseudomonadota. The record is from RNAcentral.
UGGGGAAUAUUGGACAAUGGGCGAAAGCCUGAUCCAGCAAUGCCGCGUGUGUGAAGAAGGCCUGCGGGUUGUAAAGCACUUUUGUCGGGAAAGAAACAGCCUGGGGCGAAUACCUCCAGGCCUUGACGGUACCCGAUGAAUAAGCACCGGCUAACUCCGUGCCAGCAGCCGCGGUAAUACGGAGGGUGCGAGCGUUAAUCGGAAUUACUGGGCGUAAAGCGAGUGUAGGCGGUUGCAUAAGUCGGAUGUGAAAGCCCCGGGCUUAACCUGGGAAUGGCAUUCGAUACUGUGCGGCUAGAGUCUGAUAGAGGGAAGUGGAAUUCCAGGUGUAGCGGUGAAAUGCGUAGAUAUCUGGAAGAACACCAGUGGCGAAGGCGGCUUCCUGGAUCAAGACUGACGCUGAGGCUCGAAAGCGUGGGGAGCAAACAGGAUUAGAUACCCUGGUAGUCCACGCCCUAAACCAUGUCAACUGGACGUUGGCCCCAUU